This 440-nucleotide ribosomal RNA is filed under the name uncultured bacterium. RNAcentral describes it as "partial 16S ribosomal RNA". It matches the Rfam family "Bacterial small subunit ribosomal RNA", at positions 338 to 795 of the family's 1533-position model. The record is from RNAcentral.
CCUACGGGUGGCAGCAGUGGGGAAUAUUGCACAAUGGGGGAAACCCUGAUGCAGCGACGCCGCGUGAGCGAUGAAGGCUUUCUGUGUGUAAAGCUCUAUUAGUAGGGGAGUAAAUGACGGUACGUGACUAAGAAUCCCCGUCUAACUACGUGCCAGCAGCCGCGGUAAUACGGAGGGGGCAAGCGUUAUCCGGAUUUACUGGGUGUAAAGGGGGCGUAGACGGCGGUGCAAGCCAGAGGUGAAAGCCCGGGGCUCAACGCCGGGACUGCCUCUGGUACUGUGGUGCUAGAGUGUCGGAGCGGUAGGCGGAAUGUCUAGUGUAGCGGUGAAAUGCAUAGAGAUUAGGCGGAACACCAGUGGCGAAGGCAGCUUGCUAAACGAUGACUGACGUUGAGGCUCGAAAGCGUGGGGAGCAAACAGGAUUAGAUACCCCAGUAGUC